GAUGAACGCUGGCGGCGUGCCUAAUACAUGCAAGUCGAGCGAACAGACGAGGAGCUUGCUCCUCUGACGUUAGCGGCGGACGGGUGAGUAACACGUGGAUAACCUACCUAAGAGACUGGGAUAACUUCGGGAAACCGGAGCUAAUACCGGAUAAUAUAUUGAACCGCAUGGUUCAAUAGUGAAAGACGGUUUUGCUGUCACUUAUAGAUGGAUCCGCGCCGCAUUAGCUAGUUGGUAAGGUAACGGCUUACCAAGGCAACGAUGCGUAGCCGACCUGAGAGGGUGAUCGGCCACACUGGAACUGAGACACGGUCCAGACUCCUACGGGAGGCAGCAGUAGGGAAUCUUCCGCAAUGGGCGAAAGCCUGACGGAGCAACGCCGCGUGAGUGAUGAAGGUCUUCGGAUCGUAAAACUCUGUUAUUAGGGAAGAACAAAUGUGUAAGUAACUAUGCACGUCUUGACGGUACCUAAUCAGAAAGCCACGGCUAACUACGUG
Molecule: ribosomal RNA, 497 nt
Filed under: uncultured bacterium
Lineage: Bacteria
Description: partial 16S ribosomal RNA
Rfam family: Bacterial small subunit ribosomal RNA
Source: RNAcentral